UGUGAAAAUAAAUAGCCGCAGUACCCUGACUGUGCUAAGGUAGCAUAAUCAAUAGGCUUAUAAUUUAAGUCUGGUAUGAAGGAAGAUUUGGGGGUUUCCUGUCUCACCUGAAGUAGAUGGAAUUUUUUUAAAAAGUGCAAAAACUUUUAGAUAAUCAUUAGACGAGAAGACCCUAGAAAUUUUUUAACAUAUUUUGUUGGGGCGACAAAGUAACAAUUAACUUACUUAUAUUUAUCUGAAGUGGAUAUACAGAAUGUAAAAAUUACUCUAGGGAUAACAGCAUAAUUUCUGCGAAGUUUGUGACCUCGAUGUUGGACUAGGUAUUAUUAAGUUUAGAAGAUUUAAGUUGA
This 350-nucleotide ribosomal RNA is filed under the name Praticolella salina. RNAcentral's name for it is "partial 16S ribosomal RNA". It matches the Rfam family "Archaeal large subunit ribosomal RNA", at positions 1993 to 2649 of the family's 2987-position model. Lineage: Eukaryota; Metazoa; Mollusca; Gastropoda; Stylommatophora; Polygyridae. The record is from RNAcentral.